Molecule: long non-coding RNA, 593 nt
Filed under: Mytilus galloprovincialis (Mediterranean mussel)
Lineage: Eukaryota; Metazoa; Mollusca; Bivalvia; Mytilida; Mytilidae
Source: RNAcentral
ACAGUAUACUCAUAAAUGCGUUUUUACUUUCAAGAAAUCAAUUCAGUACUAAAAAUAAAAUAAUUAAAAAUUUGAGAUUCUAGCAUUAAUAGAAAUUCAAAAUUGUAAUUGGGUUUGUAAUAGAGAUUUCAAGUGAGAUUCAUUAAGUCAGUGAUAAGAAUAAAAAAAAGAUUCUAUUAAUUGUUUGUAAAAAAGCAAAUAUCACACCAUCUACACUUUUUAUCACAUGAUCUGAGAACAAAACAAAUCACAUGAUCUGAGACCAAAGCACAUCACAUGAUCUGUGAAAAAAAACACAUCACAUGAUUGAUCUGAGACCAAAACACAUCACAUGAUCUGAGAACAAAGCACAUCACAUGAUCUUAGUAAAAAAACACAUCACAUGAUCUACGAUUCUAACAUACCUCACAUGAUGUGUACAAAAACAUGUCAUAUGAUCUAUGAUUCUAACACAUUAAUAUCACAUGAUUUGUGUAAUUCCAUGACAUGAUAUGAGAUUUCUGUAGUGAACCACAUGGUAGUUUGAUUGACAAACCACAAACAUGACAAUGGACGAUUGUUACAUCACUCGUUGGUCUAAUUAUAGAUCUGUU